AGUGAACGCUGGCGGCAGGCCUAACACAUGCAAGUCGAGCGGCAGCGCGGGGGCAACCCUGGCGGCGAGCGGCGGACGGGUGAGGAAUUCGUCGGAAUCUGCCUUUUUGUGGGGGAUAACGUAGGGAAACUUACGCUAAUACCGCAUACGUCCUACGGGAGAAAGUGGGGGACCGCAAGGCCUCACGCAGAAAGAUGAGCCGACGACCGAUUAGCUAGUUGGUGGGGUAAAGGCCCACCAAGGCGAUGAUCGGUAGCUGGUCUGAGAGGAUGAUCAGCCACACUGGGACUGAGACACGGCCCAGACUCCUACGGGAGGCAGCAGUGGGGAAUAUUGGACAAUGGGCGCAAGCCUGAUCCAGCCAUGCCGCGUGUGUGAAGAAGGCCUUCGGGUUGUAAAGCACUUUUGUCCGGAAAGAAAUCCCUGGAGCUAAUACCUUCGGGGGAUGACGGUACCGGAAGAAUAAGCACCGGCUAACUUCGUG
Molecule: ribosomal RNA, 484 nt
Filed under: uncultured bacterium
Lineage: Bacteria
Description: partial 16S ribosomal RNA
Rfam family: Bacterial small subunit ribosomal RNA
Source: RNAcentral